RNAcentral lists this transfer RNA (88 nucleotides) under Tainia dunnii. RNAcentral describes it as "tRNA-Ser". It matches the Rfam family "tRNA". Rfam says of the family: Transfer RNA (tRNA) molecules are approximately 80 nucleotides in length. Their secondary structure includes four short double-helical elements and three loops (D, anti-codon, and T loops). Lineage: Eukaryota; Viridiplantae; Streptophyta; Magnoliopsida; Asparagales; Orchidaceae. The record is from RNAcentral.
GGAGAGAUGGCCGAGUGGUUAAAGGCGUAGCAUUGGAACUGCUGUGUAGACUUUUGUUUACCGAGGGUUCGAAUCCCUCUCUCUCCGU